GAGUUUGAUCAUGGCUCAGAUUGAACGCUGGCGGAAUGCUUUACACAUGCAAGUCGAACGGCAGCACGGGUGCUUGCACCUGGUGGCGAGUGGCGAACGGGUGAGUAACAUAUCGGAACGUAUCCAGUAAUGGGGGAUAGCUCGGCGAAAGCCGGAUUAAUACCGCAUACGCCCUGAGGGGGAAAGCGGGGGAUCGAAAGACCUCGCGUUAUUGGAGCGGCCGAUAUCUGAUUAGCUAGUUGGUGGGGUAAAGGCCCACCAAGGCGACGAUCAGUAGCUGGUCUGAGAGGACGACCAGCCACACUGGAACUGAGACACGGUCCAGACUCCUACGGGAGGCAGCAGUGGGGAAUUUUGGACAAUGGGGGCAACCCUGAUCCAACCAUUCCGCGUGAGUGAAGAAGGCCUUCGGGUUGUAAAGCUCUUUCGCAAGGGAAGAAAACUUACAUUCUAAUAAAGUGUGAGGCUGACGGUACCUUGAUAAGAAGCACCGGCUAACUACGUGCCAGCAGCCGCGGUAAUACGUAGGGU
This 531-nucleotide ribosomal RNA is filed under the name uncultured Pseudomonadota bacterium. Its description in RNAcentral is "bacterial SSU rRNA". It matches the Rfam family "Bacterial small subunit ribosomal RNA", at positions 9 to 533 of the family's 1533-position model. The record is from RNAcentral. Lineage: Bacteria; Pseudomonadati; Pseudomonadota.